AGGUUAAUUCUCUGUUCGCCAAUCAGGUGCCUUCUCCUUUGCGGUAGUUCGAGUACCUCACCAAAGUUUAGCGGUAACAAUUUGAUGCAUCAGAUAGAAAAAAGUCAUACAGUUAUCCCCAAUAAGAAUCAUUGCAAAAAUCAGGGCACAAAAUACAUCAACUAGUUCCACCAAACGGUCAUCAUGGCAUGAAGCACCUCCAGUGCCCAACAUAGAGCCCAGUGCUUUGUGAUCGGUUGUCAAGUUUGCAG
This 251-nucleotide long non-coding RNA is filed under the name Elaeis guineensis (African oil palm). RNAcentral's name for it is "long non-coding RNA (EGUI_LNC026282)". Lineage: Eukaryota; Viridiplantae; Streptophyta; Magnoliopsida; Arecales; Arecaceae. The record is from RNAcentral.